UACGGAGGGUGCGAGCGUUAUCCGGAUUUACUGGGUUUAAAGGGUGUGUAGGCGGACUUUUAAGUCAGUGGUGAAAUCCCGGGGCUCAACCCCGGAACUGCCAUUGAUACUAUUGGUCUUGAAUAUUGUGGAGGUAUGCGGAAUGUGUCAUGUAGCGGUGAAAUGCUUAGAGAUGACACAGAACACCGAUUGCGAAGGCAGCGUACUACACAAUUAUUGACGCUGAGGCACGAAAGCGUGGGGAUCAAACAGG
This 253-nucleotide ribosomal RNA is filed under the name uncultured Hydrotalea sp. RNAcentral describes it as "partial 16S ribosomal RNA". It matches the Rfam family "Bacterial small subunit ribosomal RNA", at positions 524 to 776 of the family's 1533-position model. The record is from RNAcentral. Lineage: Bacteria; Pseudomonadati; Bacteroidota; Chitinophagia; Chitinophagales; Chitinophagaceae.